Long non-coding RNA from Zingiber officinale, 559 nucleotides. RefSeq lists it as uncharacterized. The record is from RefSeq and is a predicted model, not a curated record. NCBI's taxonomy places the organism in Eukaryota, Viridiplantae, Streptophyta, Magnoliopsida, Zingiberales, Zingiberaceae. The transcript is spliced from 2 exons.
CGUACAAAAGCCACCUUUUUUAGCAUCUUUUUAUUGCGAUCGUUUUAAACAAUCAAUCUGCCCAACCAAACUUACGGAUGAAGGAGACUUUUUUAAAGGAGAGAUGUUGUUGAUUUUAAUAACUGCGCGCAAGUUGACCGUUUGUUAUAGAUUGAUGGUUCACUUGUCGGUUAGGUGUUUACCUGCAGUUAGCUGAAAUGAUUGAGAAAGCAUCAGCAAGUUGCUUCUUCUUCUUCUAUCCAUCAGCUAGAUGUGCGAUUAAAGAGAGGACAAAGAAGCAAUAUAUUGUGGAAGGAAUCAGGAGCAGUUUUGGGGUUUUGGCGGCCAUGGCGAUGCCUUUAGAAUUCGCAGCGUACGUAGUGUGCAUGGUGUGGAGUGCUUUCGGAGACUGGGUGUCGUGGUGCCUCUCGGCUGCCGACGCAAUCGCCGGCGCCGCCAGGUUCGGAGAUUUCAACCGCUUCGUCCUUGUUUGAUUCUUUCUUCUUUUAGCUAUUUAUUUGUGUAUGUAAUGUAAGAAGAUCAGAGUAAACAGAGCAGUGAAUUGCCAUUUUUAUUCUCA